UCGGGAAUUUUGGGCAAUGGGCGAAAGCCUGACCCAGCAACGCCGCGUGAAGGAUGAAGUCUCUCGGGAUGUAAACUUCGUAAGAAUAGGAAGAAUAAAUGACGGUACUAUUUGUAAGGUCCGGCUAACUACGUGUCAGCAGCCGCGGUAAUACGUAGGGACCAAGCGUUGUUCGGAUUUACUGGGCGUAAAGGGCGCGUAGGCGGCGUGGUAAGUCACUUGUGAAAUCUCCGAGCUUAACUCGGAACGGUCAAGUGAUACUGCUGUGCUAGAGUACAGAAGGGGCAAUCGGAAUUCUUGGUGUAGCGGUGAAAUGCGUAGAUAUCAAGAGGAACACCUGAGGUGAAGACGGGUUGCUGGGCUGACACUGACGCUGAGGCGCAAAAGCCAGGGGAGCAAACGGGAUUAGAUACCCCGGUAGUCCCUGAGCGGGCUGGCAAGGCGCAU
RNAcentral lists this ribosomal RNA (447 nucleotides) under uncultured bacterium. RNAcentral's name for it is "bacterial SSU rRNA". It matches the Rfam family "Bacterial small subunit ribosomal RNA", at positions 355 to 825 of the family's 1533-position model. The record is from RNAcentral.